GAUGAAGAACGUAUUGAAAUGCGAUACUUGGUGUGAAUUGCAGAAUCCCGUGAACCAUCGAGUCUUUGAACGCAAGUUGCGCCCGAAGCCAUUAGGCCGAGGGCACGCCUGCCUGGGCGUCACACGUCGUUGCCCCCCCAUCUACUCCUUCGGGAUUGCGGGGGGCGGAUGAUGGCCUCCCGUGCGCCUCGUCGCGCGGUUGGCAUAAAUGCCAAGUCCUCGGCGACGCACGCCACGACAAUCGGUGGUUGCGAAACCUCGGUUGCCCGUCGUGUGCGGUCGUCGCGCAUCGAGGGCUCGAAAAAAUUGUCGGGCUCCGGCUCGGCUUUCAACGCGACCCCAGGUCAGGCGGGGUUACCCGCUGAAUUUAAGCAUAUCAAUAAGCGGAGGA
This 391-nucleotide unclassified non-coding RNA is filed under the name soil metagenome. RNAcentral's name for it is "partial contains 5.8S ribosomal RNA, internal transcribed spacer 2, and large subunit ribosomal RNA". The stretch from base 1 to 122 matches the Rfam family "5.8S ribosomal RNA", at positions 35 to 154 of the family's 154-position model. The record is from RNAcentral.